AACAACAAUGAUGAUUAAUUUUUUACAGUUACAGACCUGUAAUGAUUUGCGAAGAUGAUCGCAAUUAAUUGAACAUCUAAGGGACUGAGUUGUU
This is a non-coding RNA of Solanum tuberosum (potato), 94 nucleotides long. NCBI's taxonomy places the organism in Eukaryota, Viridiplantae, Streptophyta, Magnoliopsida, Solanales, Solanaceae. The record is from Rfam.